GCAGGACACAUGAACAUCGACAAUUUGAACGCACAUUGCGGCCCUGGGAUUCCAUCCAAGGGCCACGCCUGUCUGAGGGUCGUUUCACAAGAAGGAUACGCGACUCGUUGUCGUUUUCCGAACGUUGAUCUCUCUGAGAUCGGAGACGGGUGUCGCAGCGGGCUCCCGCUCGCGGCUCCCGAGAUACUUGCCGGCGACCUAUAGGCUCGCGUCCCCGGCCGCUUGCCGGCAAUACGAGGCGUCCCAUCGCUCCGUCGUGCCCAUGUCGUUCGCUAACGGUCCCACGACGACGUUCCUUGCGCUCCAUCACUGGUCGCUACGUCGGACGGUCGUUUCAAUUGCGGAUAACAGGUGUGGGAACGGACACUGCGACGGAUUUCGCCCUCGUGACACACUGGCAGCGGUCGUCGUCGGACUUUUGCGAGUCGAGUCGGCAUCGCCUUUCGUCGAACGAGUGUUCCCGCCCGGGACCUCACGAUCGUGCGAACGACGAACAAACCGUUUCGACCUCAGAUCAGGUGGGACUCCCCGCCGAAUUUAAGCAUAUUAGUAAGCGGAGGAAAAGAAACUAACCAGGAUUCCCCCAGUAGCGGCGAGCGAACAGGGAAAAGCCCAGCACUGAAUCCCGGGGGCUCUGCCUCCAGGGAGAUGUGGUGUUCGGGAGGGUUCACACACCUGACGCCUCUGGCUCCGAUCUCAAGUCCAUCUUGAACGAGGCCAUGGUCCCUAGAGGGUGCCAGGCCCGUAGUCGG
Molecule: ribosomal RNA, 752 nt
Filed under: Nesidiocoris tenuis
Lineage: Eukaryota; Metazoa; Arthropoda; Insecta; Hemiptera; Miridae
Description: eukaryotic LSU rRNA
Rfam family: Eukaryotic large subunit ribosomal RNA (bases 505-752)
Source: RNAcentral